AGUGAACGCUGGCGGCGUGCCUAAUACAUGCAAGUCGAACGAUGAAGCUCUAGCUUGCUAGAGUGGAUUAGUGGCGCACGGGUGAGUAAUGCAUAGAUAACAUGCCCUUUAGUCUAGGAUAGCCAUUGGAAACGAUGAUUAAUACUGGAUACUCCUUACGAGGGAAAGUUUUUCGCUAAAGGAUUGGUCUAUGUCCUAUCAGCUUGUUGGUGAGGUAAUGGCUCACCAAGGCUAUGACGGGUAUCCGGCCUGAGAGGGUGAACGGACACACUGGAACUGAGACACGGUCCAGACUCCUACGGGAGGCAGCAGUAGGGAAUAUUGCUCAAUGGGGGAAACCCUGAAGCAGCAACGCCGCGUGGAGGAUGAAGGUUUUCGGAUUGUAAACUCCUUUUGUUAGAGAAGAUAAUGACGGUAUCUAACGAAUAAGCACCGGCUAACUCCGUGCCAGCAGCCGCGGUAAUACGGAGGGUGCAAGCGUUACUCGGAAUCACUGGGCGUAAAGAGCGCGUAGGCGGGAUAGCAAGUCAGAUGUGAAAUCCUAUGGCUUAACCAUAGAACUGCAUUUGAAACUGUUAUUCUAGAGUAUGGGAGAGGUAGGUGGAAUUCUUGGUGUAGGGGUAAAAUCCGUAGAGAUCAAGAGGAAUACUCAUUGCGAAGGCGACCUGCUAGAACAUAACUGACGCUGAUGCGCGAAAGCGUGGGGAGCAAACAGGAUUAGAUACCCUGGUAGUCCACGCCCUAAACGAUGAAUGCUAGUUGUUGUGGAGCUUGUCUCUGCAGUAAUGCAGCUAACGCAUUAAGCAUUCCGCCCUGGGGAGUACGGUCGCAAGAUUAAAACUCAAAGGAAUAGACGGGGACCCGCACAAGCGGUGGAGCAUGUGGUUUAAUUCGAAGAUACACGAAGAACCUUACCUAGGCAAAGACAUUGAUAGAAUCCGCUAGAGAUAGUGGAGUGCUAGCUUGCUAGAACUUGAAAACAGGUGCUGCACGGCUGUCGUCAGCUCGUGUCGUGAGAUGUUGGGUUAAGUCCCGCAACGAGCGCAACCCUCGUCCUUAGUUGCUAACUAUUCGGUAGAGCACUCUAAGGAGACUGCCUUCGCAAGGAGGAGGAAGGUGAGGAUGACGUCAAGUCAUCAUGGCCCUUACGCCUAGGGCUACACACGUGCUACAAUGGGAAGCACAAAGAGAUGCAAUAUUGUGGAAUGGAGCAAAUCUAUAAAACUUCUCUCAGUUCGGAUUGUAGUCUGCAACUCGACUACAUGAAGCUGGAAUCAAGGGUAAUCGUAAAUCAGCUAUGUUACGGUGAAUA
RNAcentral lists this ribosomal RNA (1312 nucleotides) under uncultured bacterium. RNAcentral's name for it is "partial 16S ribosomal RNA". It matches the Rfam family "Bacterial small subunit ribosomal RNA", at positions 28 to 1368 of the family's 1533-position model. The record is from RNAcentral.